Molecule: long non-coding RNA, 686 nt
Filed under: Fukomys damarensis (Damara mole-rat)
Lineage: Eukaryota; Metazoa; Chordata; Mammalia; Rodentia; Bathyergidae
Description: lncRNA (ENSFDAG00000021637.1)
Source: RNAcentral
UGGACUCUGAAUAGCCCCCUGCUGGGGCCCCAGUGGAUGAAAUCGAAUUGCCAGUUUUGACUUAGAGGCUUCCGUUCUGCCCCGGGGACGAGAUGGAACAACAGAAGCCCCCCAAGAGCCAGGGAGAGCAGUGGACAGGUGGGGGCACAGCCUGCUCCUGUUCCCCUUUGGGGAGCUGUACACCCACAUAAACACACACACUUAUUCCAGGCAUCACGGGCGCAGCUGCCACUCACAAUAGGGGCGGGGCUUGUUUGUCACUGGGCCCUACAAGUCACUGGGCGCCCGUGACUGUGCCUUCUGUAAAUCAGACACCUGAAGCCUGAAGCCACUCAAUAAAUGAAUAGCCCCUGCUGCUUCUGGGCACAGGAAACCCUCUCCUCCUGCCCUAGAGGGAGAGGGGACCUUGUUCACCCUUUUCUUCUGGCUGUGGGGUCUGUGCGUCAGCGCACUCCGGCCUUCCUGGGAACUCACCAGAUGCCUCUUCCAGAGUGUGGAUUUGGGGAGAAGUCCCUUGGAUGCUGAGCGCCGGACUUGCCUUCCUGGCCCCAGUUCUGCACACACUGAGAAGAACCCAACCCUCUUCCCUACCCCCUCAGGUCUCCUUGCAAGGCACAGACUUAGGUCUACCUACCCUUCAGUCCCGCCUCCUCCUCAGCCACUGGCCCUGCGCCCUCACCUGCCAG